Cebus imitator (Panamanian white-faced capuchin) is the source of this 1473-nucleotide long non-coding RNA. RefSeq lists it as uncharacterized. Lineage: Eukaryota; Metazoa; Chordata; Mammalia; Primates; Cebidae. The transcript is spliced from 3 exons. The record is from RefSeq and is a predicted model, not a curated record.
AGAAAGUGCCAGGCACGUAGGAGUUCAGGAGACAGUCACGGUACUCCUUUACAGACAGAAGUCAUGCGGAACAAGAGGGACGGUGCUUUCCCGUGUACCGUGCUUGGGGAUACUCACACAGACAGUUACAGCAUGUGGCAUGGCAGGGAAAGGAGGAAAUGACUUCUGUUAAUCAUUCCUUCAGCUUCUCCCGCCCUUCCUGUGCACCCUGUCUGUUUCCCUUUCCAAUUCUCACUGUGACUCAAGGAACAACGUGUGAAAUGAAAGACCUCAGGUGCUAUAUCGGCUCUUGACAGGUCUUCAGUAGAAAGCACCUCCUGCCUGUUCUGUUCAGUCCUGGUACAGGUGGUCCUGGACCACACUUUGAAAAAUGCUGGGGCAGAAACAAGCCAGCAAGCAUAUGGGAUUCAUCUGCUGUGAGUGGUAAUUUAUCUAGUUUCUAAAAAUAGUGUUAGGGGCUGGACUGUGCCCCCCUCCCUGCUCCCAUGCAUAUGUUGACGCCCUAACCCAAAGUACCGAAGUACCUCAGAAUGUGACUGUAUUUGGAAAUAGGGCCUUUAAAGAAGUAAUUAAGUUAAAACGAGGUCACAGGGUGGGUUCUAAUGUAGUAUAACUGGUGUCCUUAUACGAAGAAAUUAGGACACAGACCCACACAGAGGGGGGACCAUGUGAAAACAGAGGGAGAAGACAGCUGCCUGCAAGCCACAGAGAGAGCCUUCGAAGAAACCAACCCUGUGGACAAUUUGAUCUCAGGAUUCCAGCCUCCAGAACUGUGAGAAAAUAGAUUUCUGUUGUUUAAGUCACCCAGUCUGUGGUAUUUCAUUAUGGCAGUGAAGCUGACUAAUACAAACAGAAGCCUGAUUUCACUUAAUAGUCAUCUCAGAAGGUAGAGAUUGCUCCAACCUAUUGUAUAAACUAGGCUGGUUUGUGAACCAAAGGACAUGAGCCCCAGAUCUGGAGUCGCAGGGGUAGCAUGACAUGCACAGAUAGCACAGCUUCUGGUGGCAGGCAUUCCCACACUCAGAGACUCAAAGAACGUUCCUCCCUAGCCUUCCACCUGAGUGACUUUAGACAAGACAGCUAUUGUUAUUUUAUUUAACAAAUAUGUAUAUAGUGCUUACUAUGUGCCAGAUAAUAGUCUGUGCACUGUGCAAAUAUUAACUCAUUUAAUCCUCAUUAUAACCCUGUGAUAUAUACACUGAAGAGCCACAGUCUCUUAUUCAAACCCUUGCUUAGGGCCAGCAGUGGUUGGCAUGUCAGAACUUGCAGAUUUAAGGAAUACGUACCAUAGGCUUCAUAACACCUCAUGGCAUCUGCAACAGCGUCCUCUUAGGAAACAUACUAAUGUUUCUAGUUUCUGUAGUGACACAUAUAUAUGCUGCAUAAGUAAAGACUGUAAGUAUCUUUGUGUCAACUCAAGACACAAGGAUACUUUUAUUCAAUGUGCUUGUUUCAAGUCAGGUUUUGCUGCCA